AGAGUUUGAUCCUGGCUCAGGGCGAACGCUAGCGGCGCGCCUAACACAUGCAAGUCGUGCGGGAAAGGGCUUCGGCCCUAGUACCGCGGCAGACGGGUGAGUAACACGUGAGCAACCUGUCCCCGGGUCUGGGAUAACCACCCGAAAGGGUGGCUAAUACCGGAUAAAGUCACCGGGCGCAAGCUCGGUGAUGAAAGGGGGCCUCUGCAUAGCAAGCUCCUGCCUGGGGAGGGGCUCGCGGCCCAUCAGCUAGUUGGUGGGGUAACGGCCCACCAAGGCUAUGACGGGUAGCCGGCCUGAGAGGGUGGUCGGCCACACGGGCACUGAGACACGGGCCCGACUCCUACGGGAGGCAGCAGUGGGGAAUCUUGGGCAAUGGGCGAAAGCCUGACCCAGCGACGCCGCGUGGGGGAAGAAGGCCUUCGGGUCGUAAACCCCUGUUCUGGGGGAAGAACCCUGAACGGGUUAAUAGCCCGUUCAGGCUGACGGUACCCCAGGAGAAAGCCACGGCUAACUGCGUGCCAGCAGCCGCGGUAAUACGCAGGUGGCGAGCGUUGCCCGGAAUCACUGGGCGUAAAGGGUGCGUAGGCGGCAGGGCAAGUCGCGGGUUAAAGCCCGGGGCUCAACCCCGGAAAGGCCUGCGAUACUGCCUUGCUUGAGGGCCGGAGAGGCUGGCGGAAUUCCCGGUGUAGGGGUGAAAUCCGUAGAUAUCGGGAGGAACACCGGUGGGGAAGCCGGCCAGCUGGACGGUUCCUGACGCUGAGGCACGAAAGCGUGGGGAGCAAACCGGAUUAGAUACCCGGGUAGUCCACGCCGUAAACGAUGGGUGCUAGGUCUGGGGAGGAAACUCUCUGGGCCGAAGCUAACGCGUUAAGCACCCCGCCUGGGGAGUACGGCCGCAAGGCUGAAACUCAAAGGAAUUGACGGGGGCCCGCACAAGCGGUGGAGCACGUGGUUUAAUUCGAUGCAAAGCGAAGAACCUUACCUGGGCUUGACAUGCCAGGGUUGUGCCCCGGUGGAAACACUGGGGGAGCGUGGGUUUUUACUCACGCGCUCUGGCACAGGUGCUGCAUGGCUGUCGUCAGCUCGUGCCGUGAGGUGUUGGGUUAAGUCCCGCAACGAGCGCAACCC
Molecule: ribosomal RNA, 1131 nt
Filed under: uncultured bacterium
Lineage: Bacteria
Description: bacterial SSU rRNA
Rfam family: Bacterial small subunit ribosomal RNA
Source: RNAcentral